Molecule: transfer-messenger RNA, 244 nt
Filed under: Muribaculaceae bacterium
Lineage: Bacteria; Pseudomonadati; Bacteroidota; Bacteroidia; Bacteroidales; Muribaculaceae
Description: partial transfer-messenger RNA
Rfam family: transfer-messenger RNA
About the family: Bacterial tmRNA, also known as 10Sa RNA or SsrA, is named for its dual tRNA and mRNA-like properties. Its role is to liberate the mRNA from a stalled ribosome.
Source: RNAcentral
GGGGCUGACCGGUUUUGACAGCGUGUAGAAGAGGUCAGUAAGCAUGCAGAGCAACGGUGGCUGCACUCUUAAAAAUCCGACACCGAAAAUUCAAAUGGCGAAAACAACUACGCUCUCGCUGCUUGAUUGAAGUACAGUAGAUCAGCUUUAUCCGCGUAACAGUUACGCGGACGAGACAUCGCCCGAGAGUCCUGGACCCGAGACUCCUCGACACGGCGGUGCAGCAAAAUCGGGUAUAGGCGCG